This 26-nucleotide non-coding RNA is filed under the name Homo sapiens (human). The record is from RNAcentral. Lineage: Eukaryota; Metazoa; Chordata; Mammalia; Primates; Hominidae.
UGUUGAUGUCUCAUGGCUGUGUGGGU